UACGUAGGGUGCGAGCGUUAAUCGGAAUUACUGGGCGUAAAGCGUGCGCAGGCUGUUUUGUAAGUCAGAUGUGAAAUCCCCGAGCUCAACUUGGGAACUGCGUUUGAAACUACAAGACUAGAAUAUGUCAGAGGGGGGUAGAAUUCCACGUGUAGCAGUGAAAUGCGUAGAGAUGUGGAGGAAUACCAAUGGCGAAGGCAGCCCCCCGGGAUAAUAUUGACGCUCAUGCACGAAAGCGUGGGGAGCAAACAGG
Molecule: ribosomal RNA, 253 nt
Filed under: uncultured bacterium
Lineage: Bacteria
Description: partial 16S ribosomal RNA
Rfam family: Bacterial small subunit ribosomal RNA
Source: RNAcentral